AUUGAACGCUGGCGGCAGGCUUAACACAUGCAAGUCGAGCGGGGUGAUGGUGCUUGCACUAUCACUUAGCGGCGGACGGGUGAGUAAUGCUUAGGAAUCUGCCUAUUAGUGGGGGACAACAUCUCGAAAGGGAUGCUAAUACCGCAUACGUCCUACGGGAGAAAGCAGGGGAUCACUUGUGACCUUGCGCUAAUAGAUGAGCCUAAGUCGGAUUAGCUAGUUGGUGGGGUAAAGGCCUACCAAGGCGACGAUCUGUAGCGGGUCUGAGAGGAUGAUCCGCCACACUGGGACUGAGACACGGCCCAGACUCCUACGGGAGGCAGCAGUGGGGAAUAUUGGACAAUGGGGGGAACCCUGAUCCAGCCAUGCCGCGUGUGUGAAGAAGGCCUUAUGGUUGUAAAGCACUUUAAGCGAGGAGGAGGCUCUUUUGGUUAAUACCCAAGAUGAGUGGACGUUACUCGCAGAAUGAGCACCGGCUAACUCUGUGCCAGCCGCCGCCGUAA
This 503-nucleotide ribosomal RNA is filed under the name uncultured bacterium. RNAcentral's name for it is "partial 16S ribosomal RNA". It matches the Rfam family "Bacterial small subunit ribosomal RNA", at positions 30 to 523 of the family's 1533-position model. The record is from RNAcentral.